GUGAAAUCCCCGGGCUCAACCUGGGAAUGGCGAUGGAGACUGCAAGGCUAGAGUUUGGCAGAGGGGGGUAGAAUUCCACGUGUAGCAGUGAAAUGCGUAGAUAUGUGGAGGAAUACCGAUGGCGAAGGCAGCCCCCUGGGAUAACACUGACGCUCAUGCACGAAAGCGUGGGGAGCAAACAGGAUUAGAUACCCUGGUAGUCCAUGCCGUAAACGUUGGGCACUAGGUGUGGGGGACAUUCCACGUUUUCCGCGCCGUAGCUAACGCAUUAAGUGCCCCGCCUGGGGAGUACGGCCGCAAGGCUAAAACUCAAAGGAAUUGACGG
Molecule: ribosomal RNA, 325 nt
Filed under: uncultured Chaetoceros
Lineage: Eukaryota; Bacillariophyta; Thalassiosirophyceae; Chaetocerotales; Chaetocerotaceae
Description: partial Bacterial small subunit ribosomal RNA
Rfam family: Bacterial small subunit ribosomal RNA
Source: RNAcentral